AAAAAGAUUUUAGAUAAAUUCUGCUCAAUGAGUAAAUUAAAUAGCUGCAGUAAAUUAACUGUACUAAGGUAGCAUAAUAAGUUGCUUUAUAAUUAAAAGCUUGAAUGAAAGAAAUAAUGUGAAACAAGCUUUUUAAACUAAAGUAGUAAAAAUUAAUAUUUAAGUGAAAAAUCUUAAAUAAAAUCAAAAGACAAGAAGACCCUUUAGAACUUUACAAAUUAACUUAAUUUCAUUUGGUUAAUUUGUUAGAUUGGGGAGAUUUUUAAAUAAAUAAAUCUUUAGAUAUAAAAAAAUGAUUUAAAUCAAAUUAAAUUAUCCAAAUAUGAAAUAAAACAAGUUACCUAAGGGAUAACAGCGCAAAAUUUUUGAGAAGUUCUCAUUUACAAAAUAAAUUGCGACCUCGAUGUUGGAU
This 412-nucleotide ribosomal RNA is filed under the name Bemisia tabaci. RNAcentral's name for it is "partial 16S ribosomal RNA". Lineage: Eukaryota; Metazoa; Arthropoda; Insecta; Hemiptera; Aleyrodidae. The record is from RNAcentral.